Molecule: long non-coding RNA, 893 nt
Organism: Anguilla rostrata (American eel)
Lineage: Eukaryota; Metazoa; Chordata; Actinopteri; Anguilliformes; Anguillidae
Exons: 2
Source: RefSeq, a predicted model, not a curated record
AUUCCCGCCUGGCCUCACACAGUUACACCACCUUCCCUGGAACUCACUGGUCCUUCUUAGUUGGAAGGUCAGUGAAAUUACACUGUAAUUUCAAAGCAUCAGAACAAUGUUGACAUUUCCGUCAUGGCGAUUGUUUCACUCUGAGUUUUGAACCUUUUAGUUCCAAACAUAAUUUGCACAUGGGGGUAUGCAUAAAGAUGAAAUGAGUCUGAUUUAAUUGUAACAUGUAACUGUAAUGGUUAUCCACAAAUAAAACGCACGUAAGCUGGCACUGAUAGUGGCUAAAGGAUAGGAUCGGUAGUUAUAACUGACCCCUUUAGCCGUUCUGCCAUCAGAAGAGACCAGUUAGAAUUCCAAGUGGGGCAUAGACCUUGUUGACUUGAAUACAAUACUGAACCUAAAUUGCAUCAGUCAAUAUGCAUCAGGAGAAGUUACAAAGCUAUUCUAUUAGCAUUGUCCUCUGUUCAGGUAUGGAUGAAUAAAUAAUGUCUAUGAUACACAAUAAAGUUAAUAUAGGAAUAGUUUGCUUUGUAUUGUACAGUUUCAUAUAAGGAGCUGAAUGUUAACAGAGCUAACUUAUCAUCAUCAACACAAAGCUGUCAACUACAAUAUGCAUCUCAGUGUUCUUACCACUAUUGCAAAUGACCAGGAUUGUUAAUAUUUUAAGUUCAUUUAGGAAUUGCAGUGAUUUUUAUUUUUCACUCCAUGCCCUCAGAUGUGAACGCCUGUCUGACUGUUUAGUUGCCGGCCCGACUGGUUGUCUUCUUCCUUCUCCUGGCCAUCCCCCCGAUUAUUGGAACCAUCUUUUACAUAAGGAGGAGGAAACAUGCACAGACAGGUGACACAAUGAGGAGCAGGUGUUUCCACAAAUGGCAGACUACAGUAUUUGUGUA